Molecule: ribosomal RNA, 439 nt
Filed under: uncultured bacterium
Lineage: Bacteria
Description: partial 16S ribosomal RNA
Rfam family: Bacterial small subunit ribosomal RNA
Source: RNAcentral
CUACGGGAUGCAGCAGUGAGGAAUAUUGCACAAUGGGGGGAACCCUGAUGCAGCAACGCCGCGUGGAGGAUGACGCAUUUCGGUGUGUAAACUCCUUUUAUAUGUCAAGAAAAUGACGGUAGCAUAUGAAUAAGCACCGGCUAACUCCGUGCCAGCAGCCGCGGUAAUACGGAGGGUGCAAGCGUUACUCGGAAUCACUGGGCGUAAAGGACGCGUAGGCGGGUUGGAAAGUCAGGGGUGAAAUCCUACAGCUUAACUGUAGAACUGCACUUGAAACUUCUAAUCUAGAGUAUGGGAGGGGGAGAUUGAAUUAGUGGUGUAGGGGUAAAAUCCGUAGAUAUCACUAGGAAUACCUAAAGCGAAGGCGAUCUCCUGGAACAUUACUGACGCUAGGGCGUGAAAGCGUGGGGAGCAAACAGGAUUAGAUACCCCGGUAGUC